GGCGAGGUGGCCGAGUGGUUAUGGCGCUAGUUUCAGGUACGAACUACCUGGUUCUACCAGGGUAUCUACUAGUUCUUCGGAGCGUGGGUUCGAGUCCCACCCUCGUCA
This is a non-coding RNA of Taxawa tesnikishii (nom. ined.), 108 nucleotides long. Lineage: Eukaryota; Fungi; Ascomycota; Dothideomycetes; Dothideales. The record is from the annotation of a GenBank genome assembly.